Molecule: ribosomal RNA, 251 nt
Filed under: uncultured bacterium
Lineage: Bacteria
Description: partial 16S ribosomal RNA
Rfam family: Bacterial small subunit ribosomal RNA
Source: RNAcentral
UACGAAGGGGGCUAGCGUUGCUCGGAAUUACUGGGCGUAAAGCGCACGUAGGCGGUCUUUUAAGUCGGGGGUGAAAGCCUGUGGCUCAACCACAGAAUGGCCUCGAUACUGGGACGCUUGAGUAUGGUAGAGGUUGGUGGAACUGCGAGUGUAGAGGUGAAAUUCGUAGAUAUUCGCAAGAACACCGGUGGCGAAGGCGGCCAACUGGACCAUUCUGACGCUGAGGCGCGAAAGCGUGGGGAGCAAACAGG